CGUUCUCUGGGUUGUUCGCCAGUUGUUUAUAGACCCUCGAGCCUAUACUGACCUCCAGGGAGGCCAAACGCUAGGCGGGUCUGUGUGCAUGUCCGCGCGUCGGAAAGCCUGAUGACCCGUCUGCGGCCACCCACCUGAACCAAUAGGUUCAGGGCCACAACAACAGCGGCAGCCCGGAGAACUC
Non-coding RNA from Kushneria sp., 184 nucleotides. NCBI's taxonomy places the organism in Bacteria, Pseudomonadati, Pseudomonadota, Gammaproteobacteria, Oceanospirillales, Halomonadaceae. The record is from Rfam.